RNAcentral lists this ribosomal RNA (416 nucleotides) under uncultured bacterium. RNAcentral describes it as "bacterial SSU rRNA". It matches the Rfam family "Bacterial small subunit ribosomal RNA", at positions 28 to 438 of the family's 1533-position model. The record is from RNAcentral.
GACGAACGCUGGCGGCGCGCUUAACACAUGCAAGUCGAGCGAGAACCAGGACUUCGGCCCUGGGGACAGCGGCGAACGGGUGAGUAACACGUGGGUAAUCUGCCCUCGGUUCCGGGAUAGCCCGGGGAAACUCGGAUUAAUACCGGAUAGCCUCACGAGCCUUCGGGGGAGUGAGAAAAGGUAGCUUUGGCCUCUGACCGAGGAUGAGCCCGCGGUGGAUUAGCUUGUUGGCGGGGUAACGGCCCACCAAGGCGACGAUCCAUAGCUGGUCUGAGAGGACGAUCAGCCACACUGGGACUGAGACACGGCCCAGACUCCUACGGGAGGCAGCAGUGGGGAAUCUUGCGCAAUGGGCGAAAGCCUGACGCAGCGACGCCGCGUGGGGAAGAAGGCCUUAGGGUUGUAAACCUCUUUCA